GGUAAAGCUGAUUGGGGUUGGAGCUGGAAAGAACGAUGGAUAGCUGCUCGUCCGUGGGAAAGCCGUGUACCAUCUCAGUUCGAUAGUCCAAAGAAAUCUACAAUUAGGCAAUCAAGCAAAGUCAGUAAGAGAAACUCUCCAUCCCCUAAAGCACGAGUUUCAAUUAAACCUCCUUCCCCAAAUGUGAAAUCAACUUCAAAGGCUCGAAGGUUGUCUUAUCCAGCAACCGAGAAAACCGAAAAACUGGCUACAGAAG
RNAcentral lists this unclassified non-coding RNA (256 nucleotides) under Hevea brasiliensis (rubber tree). The record is from RNAcentral. Lineage: Eukaryota; Viridiplantae; Streptophyta; Magnoliopsida; Malpighiales; Euphorbiaceae.